AUGAGCGUCGGCCAGCCGGCGCAGGGCAGGGACCAGAAGCCCUUGGCCAGGUGAAGCUGCUGCUGCAAAGGCGAGAAACAAGUGAGACAUCCACACCCAGAGCCCCGAGCGGCAACAUGAGUCACUGCUCUGUGCCGGCAGCAUCCAGCACUGGGGACAUGCUGGCCCCGCACCCCUGUGGGGUCUUUUCAGGACGGGGUGGGCGGCCAAGAGAGGUAAAGGGUGAGCUCUGAUGUUCCAUGCUGUGAUGGAAUUUGCAUACAGAUCUGGAAAAAUCCUUUUUUUCAUACCCUAAGACAGUAAAGCCAAGAAAAGGUUAAAAAGAAAAAAAAGGAGUCUGAGAUGACAGUUUAUAAACUCAUGAAUAAAAGAAAG
Grus americana (Whooping crane) is the source of this 375-nucleotide long non-coding RNA. RefSeq lists it as uncharacterized. The transcript has 3 exons. NCBI's taxonomy places the organism in Eukaryota, Metazoa, Chordata, Aves, Gruiformes, Gruidae. The record is from RefSeq and is a predicted model, not a curated record.